Molecule: ribosomal RNA, 253 nt
Filed under: uncultured bacterium
Lineage: Bacteria
Description: partial 16S ribosomal RNA
Rfam family: Bacterial small subunit ribosomal RNA
Source: RNAcentral
UACGUAGGGUGCAAGCGUUAUCCGGAAUUAUUGGGCGUAAAGCGCGCGUAGGCGGUUACUUAAGUCGGAUGUGAAAGCCCUCGGCUUAACUGAGGAAGUGCACCCGAAACUGAGUAGCUAGAGUACGAAAGAGGGUCGCGGAAUUCCCGGUGUAGAGGUGAAAUUCGUAGAUAUCGGGGGGAACACCGGUGGCGAAGGCGGCGACCUGGGUCGAGACUGACGCUGAGGCGCGAAAGCGUGGGGAGCAAACAGG